RNAcentral lists this ribosomal RNA (321 nucleotides) under uncultured eukaryote. Its description in RNAcentral is "partial 18S ribosomal RNA". It matches the Rfam family "Eukaryotic small subunit ribosomal RNA", at positions 1470 to 1796 of the family's 1831-position model. The record is from RNAcentral.
CCCUUAGAUGUCCUGGGCCGCACGCGCGCUACACUGACAUGUUCAACAAGCCUCCUAGUUCGACAGGAUUUGGGAAAUCUUUGAACGCAUGUCGUGAUAGGGAUAGAUCAUUGCAAUUAUUGAUCUUGAACGAGGAAUUCCUAGUAAACGCGAGUCAUCAGCUUGCAUUGAUUACGUCCCUGCCCUUUGUACACACCGCCCGUCGCACCUACCGAUUGAAUGUUUCGGUGAAGAUUCCGGAUAGGACUUUUUUGAUUUAUUUCAAUUUUGUCUUAAAAGCUAUCUAAACCUCAACAUUUAGAGGAAGGUGAAGUCGUAACA